This 398-nucleotide ribosomal RNA is filed under the name uncultured bacterium. Its description in RNAcentral is "partial 16S ribosomal RNA". It matches the Rfam family "Bacterial small subunit ribosomal RNA", at positions 360 to 773 of the family's 1533-position model. The record is from RNAcentral.
AAUAUUGCACAAUGGAGGAAACUCUGAUGCAGCGACGCCGCGUGAGUGAAGAAGGUCUUCGGAUCGUAAAACUCUGUCCUCAGGGAAGAAACAAAUGACGGUACCUGAGGAGGAAGCCCCGGCUAACUACGUGCCAGCAGCCGCGGUAAUACGUAGGGGGCUAGCGUUGUCCGGAUUUACUGGGCGUAAAGGGUGAGUAGGCGGUUGCAUAAGUCAGAUGUAAAAGGCUAAGGCUUAACCAUAGUAUGCAUUUGAGACUGUGUGACUUGAGUGCAGGAGAGGUAAGCGGAAUUCCUAGUGUAGCGGUGAAAUGCGUAGAUAUUAGGAGGAACACCAGUGGCGAAGGCGGCUUACUGGACUGUAACUGACGCUGAGUCACGAAAGCGUGGGUAGCAAAC